AAAGUCUCUCCUGGCGCUUCAACAUUUCCCGCAGCUCCGACAAACUCCGCUGCCCCAAGUCCUCGGGAGCUUGGGGCUCGAAGCCGCGGGGCAGCGAGAACAUUCUGCGGGGGCUGAGGCUGGCGAGGCGGCGGGCACUCGGCGUCCUCGGCAGCCCCUGCUGCUGGCGGCGGAUCCGCGGCCGGCGGGGACUCCGGCGAACGAGCGGGAGUCGCCAUUUUCCCGGAAGAACAGUCUUCUUCUAGCCGAAUCGAGCUUUAUUAAAACGCCGGAAACAAACACGGACAGGGAGGAGGGGUGGCCGGAGGGGGUGGGAAGGAACGGAAGUUGCCGAGUGACGUCAGACGCCGGCGAGGCGCGCUUUCGAGUCGCUUGUUCUUCCCCUGUGCAUCCGCUCUCCGCCUGUUAUGUUCAGAAAGUAUUAGGGUGAUGGUGGCCUCAUAGAAUGACCUUGGCAGUGUUCCUUCCUCUGCAGUUUUUUGGAAGAGUUUCAGAAGCAGAGAGAGUACAAGUGUUCUUCGAACCACGAACGAUAAAAGGAACUGCUUCCGACCCAGAGCAAGCUACCAUUGUGUCAUCUUCCAAAGAGCCAGAGACUAAAUCUGGAGAAGAGCUCGUGGGACAUGAUCUGGAAACAGUUCAAUUGAGCAGGUUCCGCCCAGCCUUGUGCUCCUCCCUGAUCUCCUGGUUCCUUUAACGGCAAGCUAAAGAACUCAGCGGGAUUCCAGACGGCUUGUCAACAGAAGAACGAAGCCCAAGGGCAAGGACGACUGGAACUCAGCUAACACCAGAUGAUAAGAUCCAUGAGGGCAGGACCACAUCUGCCCCGCUCCCCACUGGGUACCCAGCCCCACCACAGAGAAAAUGCCGAUCCAGAACCAGUCAGAAGAACUAGUGAUGGGAGGGAGAUGACCAAUCCCUGUCUAACACCACAAAAGGAGACUUAAUUUGGUACAAAGAUCUAGCCAAGUGGGGACACUGUGAUUCAGAUGACAGCAACAAUGGAUGGGAACUAGAUUCCUACCCCUGGGAAACAACGCAGACAGCACCCUGCAGUGAGGCAGGAGAAAUGGAGUGCACCACAGCCAAGGAGCGCCACGGGGAAAUGAGGGACAGCCUUGCCCCAGACUUCAUGUGUGUGAAGUUCAGAAGCUGAAAAGCUAUGAUCUAACAGCCAUGGUUCCAGAGAUGCUAAAUGUGACAAAGCAAUGCUUUUCCUUGGGAAACACACUCCUGACAACUACCCAAUGCUGAUAUACGGCAAGACCUACCCAUCCCUGUUGCUGGCACUGUUCCUGCCUGGCAGUGCCAAGGAACUGUGAAAGUGCAUGCGGGGUUUCCUCAUCUGAGCCUUUGUUCCCCAUUCUCUUAUUCUACUGAGCCCUGAGACCGACACACGGGCCAAUCACACUGUGUGACUGGGUUUCUCGUUUGGGAGCAGAUUUUAUCUAAUGUGUACGUUUAUCCUACACACAAUAAAAAAAAAAAGGAGUCC
Long non-coding RNA from Globicephala melas (long-finned pilot whale), 1495 nucleotides. RefSeq lists it as uncharacterized. NCBI's taxonomy places the organism in Eukaryota, Metazoa, Chordata, Mammalia, Artiodactyla, Delphinidae. The record is from RefSeq and is a predicted model, not a curated record.